CCCCUUUAUCCAUCUUCUAGUCCCAGAGUAGCCAACAUUCUCUCUGAUGUUUAUUCCGGUCUCCCUUCAGUGAUCCGAAUGGAAGGGCCUCUUGUGAAGGAAAAUUUGCAUGAAAUAAACUGGGGAGGAUGAAAACGUUAUGUUCCCCAAGCUGUUUUCUUCUCUCUCCCUCCACUCGUCCAGUCUGCCUCUAGCUGCUCUGUGAUACCUUCAUCGCCAUUCUGGGAGGGAAACUGAGGGCAUUUCUACUAUCUUACCUCAAAGGAGUGAUAAUUGUAAUAAAUGGCCAGUAUUCUUCAAAAGUUGCAGGAACUCUCUUCUUGCCUUGGUCUUCCAGUCUCUACAUCUUUGCCUACAUCUUUUCCCUACAGUAGUGGAGUGUGGUUUGGUGGACCUGGAGUGAGCAUCAGCAACGUGGGCUUAGCCUGGUAUAGUAGAAGGACAACCGGACUUGAAUUGAAGUUGGCCUCUUCAGCUUGAAUACCUGAAUGACCUGAGGAAAUAAACUUGUAUUAAGUGCUUAUCA
Molecule: long non-coding RNA, 526 nt
Filed under: Phascolarctos cinereus (koala)
Lineage: Eukaryota; Metazoa; Chordata; Mammalia; Diprotodontia; Phascolarctidae
Description: lncRNA (ENSPCIG00000000119.2)
Source: RNAcentral